RNAcentral lists this ribosomal RNA (96 nucleotides) under Preussia sp. 3305. RNAcentral's name for it is "partial 18S ribosomal RNA". The stretch from base 1 to 55 matches the Rfam family "Eukaryotic small subunit ribosomal RNA", at positions 1778 to 1831 of the family's 1831-position model. The record is from RNAcentral. Lineage: Eukaryota; Fungi; Ascomycota; Dothideomycetes; Pleosporales; Sporormiaceae.
GGAAGUAAAAGGUCGUAACAAGGUUUCCGUAGGUGAACCUGCGGAAGGAUAUUAUCGUGGGGCUUCGGCCCUCUCGAGAUAGAACCCUUGCCUUUU